This 292-nucleotide ribosomal RNA is filed under the name uncultured bacterium. RNAcentral's name for it is "partial 16S ribosomal RNA". It matches the Rfam family "Bacterial small subunit ribosomal RNA", at positions 505 to 796 of the family's 1533-position model. The record is from RNAcentral.
GUGCCAGCCGCCGCGGUAAGACGAACCGUGCGAACGUUGUUCGGAAUCACUGGGCUUAAAGGGCGCGUAGGCGGGCCGACGCGUCCGGGGUGAAAUCCUCCCGCUCAACGGGAGAACGGCCUCGGAGACAGUCGGUCUGGAGGGGGGUAGGGGCAGGCGGAACGCUGGGUGGAGCGGUGAAAUGCGUUGAUAUCCAGCGGAACUCCGGUGGCGAAGGCGGCCUGCUGGACCCUCACUGACGCUGAGGCGCGAAAGCCAGGGGAGCGAACGGGAUUAGAAACCCCUGUAGUCC